UGGGGAAUUUUGGACAAUGGGGGCAACCCUGAUCCAGCAAUGCCGCGUGUGUGAAGAAGGCCUUCGGGUUGUAAAGCACUUUUAGUGGGGAAGAAAGGUUCGAGGUUAAUACCUUCGAAUGUUGACGUUACCCAAAGAAAAAGCACCGGCUAACUCUGUGCCAGCAGCCGCGGUAAUACAGAGGGUGCAAGCGUUAAUCGGAAUUACUGGGCGUAAAGCGCGUGUAGGUGGAUAUUUAAGUCGGGUGUGAAAUCCCCGGGCUCAACCUGGGAAUUGCAUUCGAUACUGGUUGUCUAGAAUAUGGUAGAGGGAAGCGGAACUUUCGGUGUAGCGGUGAAAUGCGUAGAUAUCGGAAAGAACAUCAGUGGCGAAGGCGGCUUCCUGGACCAAUAUUGACACUUAAGCGCGAAAGCGUGGGGAGCAAACAGGAUUAGAUACCCCCGUAGUCC
RNAcentral lists this ribosomal RNA (449 nucleotides) under uncultured bacterium. RNAcentral describes it as "bacterial SSU rRNA". It matches the Rfam family "Bacterial small subunit ribosomal RNA", at positions 355 to 796 of the family's 1533-position model. The record is from RNAcentral.